GACGAACGCUGGCGGCGUGCCUAAUACAUGCAAGUAGAACGCUGAAGGAGGAGCUUGCUUCUCUGGAUGAGUUGCGAACGGGUGAGUAACGCGUAGGUAACCUGCCUGGUAGCGGGGGAUAACUAUUGGAAACGAUAGCUAAUACCGCAUAAGAGUAGAUGUCGCAUGACAUUUGCUUAAAAGUUGCACUUGCAUCACUACCAGAUGGACCUGCGUUGUAUUAGCUAGUUGGUGAGGUAACGGCUCACCAAGCCAACGAUACAUAGCCGACCUGAGAGGGUGAACGGCCACACUGGGACUGAGAGACGGCCCAGACUCCUACGGGAGGCAGCAGUAGGGAAUCUUCGGCAAUGGACGGAAUUCUGACCGAGCAACGCCGCGUGAGUGAAGAAGGUUGUCGGAUCGUAAAACUCUGUUGUAAGAGAAGAACGAGUGUGAGAGUGGAAAGUUCACACUGUGACGGUAGCUUACCAGAAAGGGACGGCUAACUACGUG
RNAcentral lists this ribosomal RNA (495 nucleotides) under uncultured bacterium. Its description in RNAcentral is "partial 16S ribosomal RNA". It matches the Rfam family "Bacterial small subunit ribosomal RNA", at positions 28 to 507 of the family's 1533-position model. The record is from RNAcentral.